CCCCUUCAGCGGAGCCGUCACUCAACAAGGCCCCGCCCCCCAGGGCCGGCCCGCGCUGGCCGACUGGAAGGUCUCGCGGGAGGGGUCCGGGCGGGCCUACCCGCGCAGGCUGCGACGUCACCUUGCGACGCGGGCAUCCCUGGGCCCCGCCCACCCCAUUUAAACCCCCUGGACUCAACAUGGCGGCGGCGCACCCUCGGACGCCUGACCCCGGCGUCCCCGGGCGCGGGUAAGGGGCAACCCUUUCGUGUCCAGGGCUGCUGUCCUCCAUACGCAGCGAUGCGUGUCCGUCCGCCUGCGCGUCGUAGCGCCACCUGGGGGCUGGCCCCUCCCCGGCGAGGUCGGUGACCCUGAACGACCCUCCUGCGCCGCGCGCGCCCCGGAAGCGCUGGCGUGUCUCCCGGAAGUGGUUUUUCUUCCUCUCCCACCGUCGGGGCGGUGCCGCUGGCGGGGAAGGCGGGGUCCACGUGCCGGCUUGUGGAGAGCGGACUUCCUAGCGCUUUCCGCGUCUGGCGGUGCCUUCCCCGUUCCUGAGUAGCCUUUUUAACGGAAGCGUAAUCGGAGAGGCCGGGCCGCGGCUGUGGGCAGCGGCCACAUCGUCAGGCGCCUCGGGCUGCUGACCCAGCGCGGCUUGCCUUACCUGUCUGAGCUUCUCAGGACAGGCCGAGUCCACGCGGCCAGGAGCGGGGGCGGCGGUGUCCUGCCUUCGGGCCCUGCCGGCGGGUGGAUCCAGCAGAUGGGAACAUUGCCCCCUGCGCAGCGUGCAUGCGCACCAGGACUGCGGGAGCCCCCGCUUGAAGGGAAGACGACGGCACCCACCGUGGGCACAACUGCGGGCUGCCCCCUGCUGGCCGAUUGAAGAGGACAUUACUUACCAUAGAGGACAUUACUUACCACCUGUAAAUGCCAGGGAGAAGCCACAGCUCCUAGGAGGUCUCAAUUGCACCUGGCCUCAGUGCCACUGGAAAUGACUGAGUCUCCCUUGCCUGUAUUGUACCGUGCCCCUCAUCACCUCCACGAGGAGUCAGAAACUGUUCAUAUCAUUUUUUACCAUCUGUU
This 1059-nucleotide long non-coding RNA is filed under the name Canis lupus dingo (dingo). RNAcentral describes it as "lncRNA (ENSCAFG00020002025.1)". Lineage: Eukaryota; Metazoa; Chordata; Mammalia; Carnivora; Canidae. The record is from RNAcentral.